CCGUAAACUAAAGUAGCAUAUCAACAAUGCUACUCGCCAGAGUACUACAAGCAAUAGCUCGAAACUCAAAGGACUUGGCGGUGCUUUAUACCCCCCUAGAGGAGCCUGUUCUAUAAUCGAUAAACCCCGAUAAACCUCACCACCUCUUGCUAAUUCAACCUAUAUACCGCCAUCCUCAGCAAACCCUGUCAAGGACCCAUAGUAAGCAAGAGAAUCACACAUUAAAACGUUAGGUCAAGGUGUAGUCUAUGAGGUGGGAAGAAAUGGGCUACAUUUUCUAUCCUCACAGAACAACUAACGCCGCCCCUUAUGAAAAAAGUGGUCAAGGCGGAUUUAGAAGUAAAUUAAGAAUAGAGAGCUUAAUUGAAUAGGGCAAUGAAGC
RNAcentral lists this ribosomal RNA (382 nucleotides) under Nycticebus coucang (slow loris). RNAcentral's name for it is "partial 12S ribosomal RNA". It matches the Rfam family "Bacterial small subunit ribosomal RNA", at positions 800 to 1380 of the family's 1533-position model. Lineage: Eukaryota; Metazoa; Chordata; Mammalia; Primates; Lorisidae. The record is from RNAcentral.